GACGAACGCUGGCGGCGUGCUUAACACAUGCAAGUCGAACGGAAAGGCCCUGCUUGCAGGGUACUCGAGUGGCGAACGGGUGAGUAACACGUGGGUGAUCUGCCCUGCACUUCGGGAUAAGCUUGUUAAACUGGGUCUAAUACCGGAUAGGAGCCAUCUUUAGUGUGGUGGUUGGAAAGUUUUUUCGGUGUAGGAUGAGCUCGCGGCCUAUCAGCUUGUUGGUGGGGUAAUGGCCUACCAAGGCGGCGACGGGUAGCCGGCCUGAGAGGGUGUACGGCCACAUUGGGACUGAGAUACGGCCCAGACUCCUACGGGAGGCAGCAGUGGGGAAUAUUGCACAAUGGGCGCAAGCCUGAUGCAGCGACGCCGCGUGGGGGAUGAAGGCCUUCGGGUUGUAAACUCCUUUCGCUAGGGACGAAGCUUUUUGUGACGGUACCUAGAUAAGAAGCACCGGCUAACUACGUG
RNAcentral lists this ribosomal RNA (465 nucleotides) under uncultured bacterium. Its description in RNAcentral is "partial 16S ribosomal RNA". It matches the Rfam family "Bacterial small subunit ribosomal RNA", at positions 28 to 507 of the family's 1533-position model. The record is from RNAcentral.